Molecule: ribosomal RNA, 282 nt
Filed under: uncultured bacterium
Lineage: Bacteria
Description: partial 16S ribosomal RNA
Rfam family: Bacterial small subunit ribosomal RNA
Source: RNAcentral
GAGGGGCAGCAUGGGCUUAGCUUGCUAAGCCCGAUGGCGACCGGCGCACGGGUGAGUAACACGUAUCCAACCUUCCGGUAACUCCGGUAUAGCCUUUCGAAAGAAAGAUUAAUCCCGGAUAGUAUGGUGAUUCCGCAUGGUUUCUCCAUUAAAGGAUUCCGGUUACCGAUGGGGAUGCGUUCCAUUAGGCAGUUGGCGGGGUAACGGCCCACCAAACCUACGAUGGAUAGGGGUUCUGAGAGGAAGGUCCCCCACAUUGGAACUGAGACACGGUCCAAACUC